Molecule: ribosomal RNA, 466 nt
Filed under: uncultured bacterium
Lineage: Bacteria
Description: partial 16S ribosomal RNA
Rfam family: Bacterial small subunit ribosomal RNA
Source: RNAcentral
CUACGGGUGGCUGCAGUCGAGAAUAGUCUACAAUGGACGAAAGUCUGAUAGUGCGACGCCGCGUGGAUGAAGAAGCAUUUCGGUGUGUAAAGUCCUUUUCUGUGUGAGCAAUGUUUUCCAGGUUAAUAGCUUGGAGAAAGCGAUAUUAACACAGGAAUAAGCUCCGGCUAACUCCGUGCCAGCAGCCGCGGUAACACGGGGGGAGCAAGCGUUGUCCGGAAUUACUAGGCGUAAAGGGUAAGUAGGCGGAAUUGUAAGUCAGAUGUUAAAGGCACCGGCUCAACCGGUGUAUGGCAUUUGAUACUGUAAUUCUAGAGUAAGGUGGGGGAAGACGGAAUUCCUGGUGUAGCGGUGGAAUGCGCAGAUAUCAGGAGGAACACCAGAGGCGCAGGCGGUCUUCUAUACCAUUACUGACGCUCAAUUACGAAGGUGUGGGUAUCAAACAGGAUUAGAUACCCGGGUAGUC